AAAACGUUGUUUCUGACCAAUAUAUUAUACACAAAGACUCCGAUACGCAUUAUUCGAAUGCAUAAAUCAUUAUUUUUAAAUGUUAUUAAUUGGAGCUGUAGAGAAUGAAAAUUGUCUCGAACUAUAAAUAUGACUUAGACCGAUAAAAAUCCGAUUUUAAUUUUCGUUUAUCAAAGAUCAAACGUUGUUGUAUCAAAAAUAUCUACUCAGAAAAAGUGGCGUCCCUGUCGGCACAUUUAAUUAUGCACUGCGAAUAGCCUAGCCUUAUCCUUAAUGGUUCGUCUUCAACAAUCUUCCGCAGGAAUUAUAACCGAAGUUUCGGGCUAGAGUGCUUGAAAAAUUAACCAAUGAAAUAAAAUUACUUCAACUAAAAUUCAAAGAAAAAUUCUGAGAAAAUUGUUUGGAGCGGUAAAUAUACGCCGAUACCAAUGAGUUAGACCGAACCAAAAACUAUUGAGUCGUUACAUCAGAAACAGAACACCGUAUAGAAGUCAUCAGAAGGAAUUGUAUUUGACAGGGCACGCCUUGAGAAGCCGAAACCCAUUAAUUUCUAUAGAGAAACUGUGAACGAACCGGAAACGAAAAAACUGAAAUCCGAGAAUGCGGCUGCAGUCAAAAUGUAUGUAAGAAAACUAGAAGAAAAAUUAUAUUGAAAUGCCCAUAGGCGAGCCAAAGGGAACACUAGGGGGUGCUUAGUACUCCCUAGCUUCAAAUCAGCACUCCUAGAUUUCCUGAGUAAUUUAUUUCAGUAUCUCACCAAUAAUUUGUAAUUGAUUGUGGUUUAUUGGAUUGGAUACAAUAUUUAUUUUUUCCCAUUACACGUUCAUGAAUUCACGAUUAAAACAGUAUUGUGUAAAUGCUCGUUUCAGUUUUCGUCUAAAUGUUAAACAGCAAUCAUACAGGAAAUCGUAUUAUCUUACUUUGCUUUUACAUCUUAAACGGUCAGCUAUGAAACUAUGUUCUAUUUAAAACUGAUA
Molecule: non-coding RNA, 977 nt
Organism: Cinara cedri
Lineage: Eukaryota; Metazoa; Arthropoda; Insecta; Hemiptera; Aphididae
Source: the annotation of a GenBank genome assembly